Molecule: long non-coding RNA, 814 nt
Organism: Hyposmocoma kahamanoa
Lineage: Eukaryota; Metazoa; Arthropoda; Insecta; Lepidoptera; Cosmopterigidae
Exons: 4
Source: RefSeq, a predicted model, not a curated record
GUCCAUUUUCCCACAUGAACUGUCAUGGCGAUACUAUAAAAGCACAGUAAUGCGUGUGCACCUUGCACUCGAGCGACGACGCGCGCGCAGGACUGAGCCAGAGUCCCUGCGUAACCACACCUAAGACUUGCUGGGAUGUGACGAUGCAGCCGUCACGCUCAGCAGGUCCGGCGGCUCGGUGCGGGGCGGCCGGCAACGUCGGAGAAUGUCUGCCGACGUCGCGCGGCCGUAAAGCUGGCCAGCGCGGCUGCCGCGGCUCCCUUGGAGCGGCUGGCAGAGCUUUAGCGCUUUUGGAACAAAUUUCUUACAACACUUAAUAUUAAGUAACUGACAAGUUUGUAGCAGUUUAACACUAAACCUCGUCGAAAAAUAGUACGAAAAUUAGAGCAGCUGCAAUGAAAUGGUUAAACUACGUUUAUAUUUUUCUUAUAUUCAUUUAUUUUUGUUCAAUGGGAUAACAUGGCGAUUUAAAUGACAAUAGUUAGUUUUUCUCCAAUUUAAUAGGUAUUAAGCUGUAGGUUACACACGUGUUAAUUCUUUCACCGUCAUAGGACACUUUUCCAAUUGUUACUUUUCCAGUUGUGGGAGGAUAAGUUAAGUUUUCUCUAAUUUUCAUUUCCUUUUUGUAAAUAGUUUUUAAGGUCACUAUACUUCAUACGCAAAUAAGUUUUUUGUUUUUGUCAAGUAAGAGUCAGCAAACCUGGAUGUUCGGGUGGAACCAUAAUAGGUGUAUUGUUUUUAUUAUUUCGAGUGUUUAAAUUGUUACAGAUAAGAUCAUAGUCUUUAGCCGUUUCAUAUUGCUUUUUUCAUUAAU